CCUANGGGAGGCAGCAGUAAGGAAUAUUGGGCAAUGGGCGCAAGCCUGACCCAGCCAUGCCGCGUGCAGGAUUGACGGCCCUAUGGGUUGUAAACUGCUUUUGUAUGGAAAAAAACCCCCGGUCGUGUACCGGGGUUGAUGUUACCAUAAGAAUAAGCAUCGGCUAACUCCGUGCCAGCAGCCGCGGUAAUACGGAGGAUGCAAGCGUUAUCCGGAUUCAUUGGGUUUAAAGGGUGCGCAGGCGGAACGGUAAGUCAGUGGUGAAAGCCUACAGCUCAACUGUAGAAUUGCCAUUGAUACUGUCGUUCUUGAGUAUAGUUGGAGUGUGCGGAAUGUAUCAUGUAGCGGUGAAAUGCUUAGAUAUGAUACAGAACACCAAUCGCGAAGGCAGCUCACUAAGCUAUAACUGACGCUCAUGCACGAAAGCGUGGGGAGCAAACAGGAUUAGAUACCCCUNUANUC
RNAcentral lists this ribosomal RNA (462 nucleotides) under uncultured bacterium. RNAcentral describes it as "bacterial SSU rRNA". It matches the Rfam family "Bacterial small subunit ribosomal RNA", at positions 338 to 795 of the family's 1533-position model. The record is from RNAcentral.